UGUUUUUGUUUUUGUUUUUUUUUUUAAUUUUUUUUUUAACGUUUAUUUAUUUUUCAGACAGAGGGAGACAGAGCAUGAAUGGGGGAGGGUCAGAGAGAGAGGGAGACACAGAAUCUGAAACAGGCUCCAGGCUCUGAGCCGUCAGCACAGAGCCCGACGCGGGGCUCGAACUCAUGGACCACGAGAUCGUGACUUGAGCCGAAGUCGGCCGCUUAACCGACUGAGCCACCCAGGCACCCCACCCCUUUAGUUUUUUUAAUGCUCAGAUGGUCUCAAUGGGAGCUUCAUCAAGUUGUGUGAAAUAUUGUCUACCAGGGAAGUUCAUUAGAGACUCAUUGCCUAGGACUUAAUAAUAUUGAGUGUAGGUUACAUAAGCUGCUCUGCUUAUGGACAAAAUUCUAGACUUCCAGCAGGAAAGCAGGUAUUCAGCAUAAACCAUAUUGUUUGGUUUAGGUACAGUGAGUCACUCUUACCAGUUCUGGGAAUUGUAGGAACCACCCAAAAUCCAAUUUCACUCGUGUCCUCCAAGGGCCAACCUUGCAAGUAGGCUUUUCUAAAGAAAGCAGGUUUUUUGGUUUGUUUUUUUUUUUUAUGUUGAUUCUGUUCUGCACACUUAUAAUAUAUUUAUUAUAACUUAAAACUAUAUUGUUUUUUACUACUAACAGUAAGACUCAGAAUGAAAUUUAAGAUUUUUCUGAGGUUCUAUUUGGCCUUAGAAUAUGUCCCAGUAGGGAUGUAUGGUCAGAGUACUGUGUUUAGUAAUUCUUUUUUUCAUAUAGUUAUACUCCCAUCCUCAUCUGAAUUUAGCUUAAUUUGUUUCAGCUUGUUUUGAACUUUUAUAUGUUUUUCCUUUUUGAUUUAAUUAACAGAUAUAAAAUGUGUAUGUACACCAUUUUCCCACAUCAAAAUGAUACAAGAUAAAAUUGUCUUCAGAAACAGAAGUCUCCUUUAAUAUCAAUAUCCUCUACCCUAUUCCCUUCCUCCCUCCAUAGGUAACCAUUUUUAUUAUUUUUUUAAAUUAAAAAAAAAAGUUUAUUGGGGUGCCUGGGUGGCUCAGUCAGUCAAGCAUCCGAAUCUUGAUUUCGGCUCAGGUCAUGAUCUCACCGUUUUUGAGUUCGAGCCUUACAUCGGGCUGUAUGCCAAUAGCAUGGGGUCUUGGGAUUCUCUCUCUUCCUCCCCCCCCCAUAAAUAAAUAAGCAUUUUUAAUAAAUAAAUAUUUAUUUAUUUUGAGAGAGUGAGCACGUGUGCAUGUGUGCACACAAGUUGGAGAGGGGCAGAGAGAGAGGGGGAGAGUGAGAAUCCCAAGCAGGCUCUGUGUUCAGUGAGGAGCCUGAUGUAGGGCUUGAUCUGACUGCAAGAUCAUCACCUGAGCCAAUAUUAAGAGUUGGACACUUAACCAACUGAGCCACCCGGGCACCCCCAUUUUUAUUAUUUUGAUUUAUUCUUUUGUUUCUUUUUGGAAACAUAAGCAAAUGUGUAUAUGUGUGUGUGUGAUGUGUAUGUACAUAUGUACAUAUAUAAAUAUUCUCCUCUUUGACACGUAAAAGAUAGCAUACUAUUAAAUACAGCUUCACAUGUUUCUUUUUUCGCUAAACAACAUACAAGAUAUUCUGGAGAUCAAUUUUUCUUGGAGAUGACUCUGUCCCAGAGAUCCUGCUCACGUAGCUGGGAGAGUCAUAGCCAUUUACUGAUGCAGUGGGGAGCUCUGGCAAAGGAGCCACUUGGGGUGUAGCUGGGGAAAGAGCGUGCUGAGUUCACUUUUAAACAGGUGCCUUUAAGAUAUCCACGUGGUUCGGGGGCACCUAGGUGGCUCAGUUGGUUGAGCUCCUGACUUUGGAUGGGGUCACAAUCUCGCGGUUUGUGGGUUCGAGCCCCACAUCAGGCUCGCUGCUAUCAGUGUAGAGCCCGCUUCGGAUUUUCUGUCCCCCUCUCUCUCUUCCUCUGUCUCUCUCUCUCUC
Molecule: long non-coding RNA, 1958 nt
Organism: Neofelis nebulosa (Clouded leopard)
Lineage: Eukaryota; Metazoa; Chordata; Mammalia; Carnivora; Felidae
Exons: 2
Source: RefSeq, a predicted model, not a curated record